RNAcentral lists this transfer RNA (85 nucleotides) under Flavobacteriales bacterium. Its description in RNAcentral is "tRNA-Ser". It matches the Rfam family "tRNA". Rfam says of the family: Transfer RNA (tRNA) molecules are approximately 80 nucleotides in length. Their secondary structure includes four short double-helical elements and three loops (D, anti-codon, and T loops). Further hydrogen bonds mediate the characteristic L-shaped molecular structure. tRNAs have two regions of fundamental functional importance: the anti-codon, which is responsible for specific mRNA codon recognition, and the 3' end, to which the tRNAs corresponding amino acid is attached (by aminoacyl-tRNA synthetases). tRNAs cope with the degeneracy of the genetic code in two manners: having more than one tRNA (with a specific anti-codon) for a particular amino acid; and 'wobble' base-pairing, i.e. permitting non-standard base-pairing at the 3rd anti-codon position. Lineage: Bacteria; Pseudomonadati; Bacteroidota; Flavobacteriia; Flavobacteriales. The record is from RNAcentral.
GGAAAGGUGGCCGAGUGGCUUAAGGCGCACGCUUGGAAAGCGUGUAUACGGCAACGUAUCGGGGGUUCGAAUCCCUUCCUUUCCG